This is a long non-coding RNA of Triplophysa dalaica, 953 nucleotides long. RefSeq lists it as uncharacterized. The transcript is spliced from 3 exons. Lineage: Eukaryota; Metazoa; Chordata; Actinopteri; Cypriniformes; Nemacheilidae. The record is from RefSeq and is a predicted model, not a curated record.
CUGUACUUUACCGCUUCAGCGUGACUUCUCUCUUCAACAAGUUAACCAACACACACUGAUGCUGAUCGGAAUCCUUUAUAUACUGCUCGAUGUGGGUCGACCGCAGCUGAAACCAAAAUUAUUUCCAGGUGUAACAAUUAUCAAUCACAGUCGCAAUCAACUGUUAACUAUUUUCAUGAGUCACUAUUGUUUCAGCAUGGAUUCGCCCACUAUCUCCUAUAUAGUGAACAAUUUCGGACAAUGACGUAAUAUAUCCUGAAAAAUGCUGGGUUAUUUGUUUAACCCAACAGCUGGGUUGAGCCUGUUGGGUCAUUUUGUUCGGUUAUUUUCUUAGUGUUGGGUCAUUUUUUGAGUAACCCAAACGCUGGGUUACCAGUCUGGUCCAAUUGAGUGACAGUUGAGAGAGUAAACCCCUCCCACUCCUCUACGCAUCAGACAAACUUUACCUUCGCGGGCAUUUUGAUCCACUUCAUCUCGGAAAGCUGUUAUUCGGAGAAUAAAAGUUGCAGAAUAACAGCUAAUAUUAAUGGAUCAUUCUAUUCAAGAAAAUGUCAACUGGAACUUGGAUGUUUUCAUAACAGGCUUAAAGAUGUACAAAUUGAUAAAGAAACCCUCCUGCUGGACAUCCACUUCCAAAAGUGCACACCACACUGUUGUCUACAACUCCCAGGAAAAGAAUCCUCUUCAGUAAGACUGCUCCGUGGAUAUUUUAGGUUAAGCAGUGCUGAAACCGAAAGAACUAACACUAUUUAAAAUGUUUUGUGAGUUUAUAUGAAGAGGAAAGUUACGGUGUCCCUUUUUCACAUCCAUAACGCUUGUUUAUUUCUUUUUUUAUAGAAAACUUGUGCAUAGACUUAUAUUUUAUCAUAUAAAUGCGGUUCUAUUAACAAGGGUUUAGUAAAAUACUUUUUAAAGUGUUUUGAAGUGUUAAGUUGUCUAACUGUUUAUAUUUA